Molecule: ribosomal RNA, 2299 nt
Filed under: Enterobacter cloacae
Lineage: Bacteria; Pseudomonadati; Pseudomonadota; Gammaproteobacteria; Enterobacterales; Enterobacteriaceae
Description: bacterial LSU rRNA
Rfam family: Bacterial large subunit ribosomal RNA
Source: RNAcentral
GGGUUGUGAGGUUAAGCGACUAAGCGUACACGGUGGAUGCCCUGGCAGUCAGAGGCGAUGAAGGACGUGCUAAUCUGCGAAAAGCGCCGGCGAGGUGAUAUGAACCCUUGACCCGGCGAUGUCCGAAUGGGGAAACCCAGUGCAAUCCGUUGCACUAUCGUUAACUGAAUACAUAGGUUAACGAGGCGAACCGGGGGAACUGAAACAUCUAAGUACCCCGAGGAAAAGAAAUCAACCGAGAUUCCCCCAGUAGCGGCGAGCGAACGGGGAGCAGCCCGGAGUCUGAAUCAGCUUGUGUGUUAGUGGAACGGUCUGGAAAGUCCGACGGUACAGGGUGAUAGUCCCGUACACGAAAAUGCACAUGCUGUGAACUCGAAGAGUAGGGCGGGACACGUGGUAUCCUGUCUGAAUAUGGGGGGACCAUCCUCCAAGGCUAAAUACUCCUGACUGACCGAUAGUGAACCAGUACCGUGAGGGAAAGGCGAAAAGAACCCCGGCGAGGGGAGUGAAAAAGAACCUGAAACCGUGUACGUACAAGCAGUGGGAGCCUCUUUAUGGGGUGACUGCGUACCUUUUGUAUAAUGGGUCAGCGACUUAUAUUCUGUAGCAAGGUUAACCGUAUAGGGGAGCCGAAGGGAAACCGAGUCUUAACUGGGCGUUAAGUUGCAGGGUAUAGACCCGAAACCCGGUGAUCUAGCCAUGGGCAGGUUGAAGGUUGGGUAACACUAACUGGAGGACCGAACCGACUAAUGUUGAAAAAUUAGCGGAUGACCUGUGGCUGGGGGUGAAAGGCCAAUCAAACCGGGAGAUAGCUGGUUCUCCCCGAAAGCUAUUUAGGUAGCGCCUCGUGAAUUCAUCUUCGGGGGUAGAGCACUGUUUCGGCUAGGGGGCCAUCCCGGCUUACCAACCCGAUGCAAACUACGAAUACCGAAGAAUGUUAUCACGGGAGACACACGGCGGGUGCUAACGUCCGUCGUGAAGAGGGAAACAACCCAGACCGCCAGCUAAGGUCCCAAAGUCAUGGUUAAGUGGGAAACGAUGUGGGAAGGCACAGACAGCCAGGAUGUUGGCUUAGAAGCAGCCAUCAUUUAAAGAAAGCGUAAUAGCUCACUGGUCGAGUCGGCCUGCGCGGAAGAUGUAACGGGGCUAAACCAUGCACCGAAGCUGCGGCAGCGACACUAUGUGUUGUUGGGUAGGGGAGCGUUCUGUAAGCCGUUGAAGGUGUGCUGUGAGGCAUGCUGGAGGUAUCAGAAGUGCGAAUGCUGACAUAAGUAACGAUAAAGCGGGUGAAAAGCCCGCUCGCCGGAAGACCAAGGGUUCCUGUCCAACGUUAAUCGGGGCAGGGUGAGUCGACCCCUAAGGCGAGGCCGAAAGGCGUAGUCGAUGGGAAACAGGUUAAUAUUCCUGUACUUGGUGUUACUGCGAAGGGGGGACGGAGAAGGCUAUGUCAGCCGGGCGACGGUUGUCCCGGUUUAAGCAUGUAGGCGGAGGUUCCAGGUAAAUCCGGUACCUUUUAACGCUGAGGUGUGAUGACGAGGCACUACGGUGCUGAAGUGAUAAAUGCCCUGCUUCCAGGAAAAGCCUCUAAGCAUCAGGUAACACGAAAUCGUACCCCAAACCGACACAGGUGGUCAGGUAGAGAAUACCAAGGCGCUUGAGAGAACUCGGGUGAAGGAACUAGGCAAAAUGGUGCCGUAACUUCGGGAGAAGGCACGCUGAUGUGUAGGUGAAGCCCCUGCGGGCGGAGCUGAAAUCAGUCGAAGAUACCAGCUGGCUGCAACUGUUUAUUAAAAACACAGCACUGUGCAAACACGAAAGUGGACGUAUACGGUGUGACGCCUGCCCGGUGCCGGAAGGUUAAUUGAUGGGGUUAGCGGCAACGCGAAGCUCUUGAUCGAAGCCCCGGUAAACGGCGGCCGUAACUAUAACGGUCCUAAGGUAGCGAAAUUCCUUGUCGGGUAAGUUCCGACCUGCACGAAUGGCGUAAUGAUGGCCAGGCUGUCUCCACCCGAGACUCAGUGAAAUUGAACUCGCUGUGAAGAUGCAGUGUACCCGCGGCAAGACGGAAAGACCCCGUGAACCUUUACUAUAGCUUGACACUGAACACUGGUCCUUGAUGUGUAGGAUAGGUGGGAGGCUUUGAAGCGUGGACGCCAGUCUGCGUGGAGCCAACCUUGAAAUACCACCCUUUAAUGGCUGGUGUUCUAACGUGGACCCGUUACCCGGGUUGCGGACAGUGUCUGGUGGGUAGUUUGACUGGGGCGGUCUCCUCCCAAAGAGUAACGGAGGAGCACGAAGG